Molecule: ribosomal RNA, 411 nt
Filed under: uncultured bacterium
Lineage: Bacteria
Description: bacterial SSU rRNA
Rfam family: Bacterial small subunit ribosomal RNA
Source: RNAcentral
AAUCAACGCUGGCGGCGUGCCUCAGACAUGCAAGUCGAACGCGAAAGUUUCCUUCGGGGAACAAGUAGAGUGGCGCACGGGUGAGUAACACGUAGGUAAUCUACCUUUGGAUGGGGAAUAACAACCGGAAACGGUUGCUAAUACCGCAUAAUGCAGCGGCACCUAAUGGUGACAGUUGUUAAAGCGGGGGAUCGAAAGACCUCGCGUCUGAAGAGGAGCCUGCGGCGGAUUAGCAGUUGGUAAGGUAAUGGCUUACCAAGGCGACGAUCCGUAACCGGCCUGAGAGGGCGGUCGGUCACACUGACACUGACAUACGGGUCAGACUCCUACGGGAGGCAGCAGUCGGGAAUUUGGGCAAUGGGCGAAAGCCUGACCCAGCAACGCCGCGUGAAGGAUGAAAUCCCUCGGGAU